GCCGGGGUGGCGAAAUUGGCAGACGCGCCGGACUCAAAAUCCGGUUCCCGCAAGGGAGUGGGGGUUCAAGUCCCUUCCCCGGCACCA
This 87-nucleotide transfer RNA is filed under the name Candidatus Hydrogenedentota bacterium. RNAcentral's name for it is "tRNA-Leu". It matches the Rfam family "tRNA". Rfam says of the family: Transfer RNA (tRNA) molecules are approximately 80 nucleotides in length. The record is from RNAcentral. Lineage: Bacteria; Pseudomonadati; Candidatus Hydrogenedentota.